UACUGGGCUGGUUGUAACAAUAUCAGUAAAGAAAGCAGUAAAACACAAUAGCAAAUGUGCAGGACUACAAGCCUGUAGGACUAUUGAGGGAGAGUCACACUACACCACAAUCCUUCACCAGCACCCAUAUAUGAACCUGCUGAGGUGCUUUGCUAGCUGCAUGAGACUGCUGGGAAUAUUAACCUGUCAGACCAUCGGACCAGAACCACAGGAAGCUCCAGCACAUCGUACACUGUGUUGUAAAUGACAGUAGAUGAGAGGAGACUAGCAGACCAGCACCAGC
Molecule: long non-coding RNA, 283 nt
Organism: Trichomycterus rosablanca
Lineage: Eukaryota; Metazoa; Chordata; Actinopteri; Siluriformes; Trichomycteridae
Exons: 3
Source: RefSeq, a predicted model, not a curated record